CUACGGGAGGCACCAGUGAGGAAUACUGGUCAAUGGGCGAAAGCCUGAACCAGCCAAUCCGCGUGCAGGAUGACUGCCCUAUGGGUUGUAAACUGCUUUUAUACAGGAAGAACUUCCCCGACGUGUCGGGGCAUGACUGUACUGUAAGAAUAAGCAUCGGCUAACUCCGUGCCAGCAGCCGCGGUAAUACGGAGGAUGCAAGCGUUAUCCGGAUUUAUUAGGUCUAAAGGGUGCGUAGGCGGAUGAUUAAGUCAGUGGUGAAAUCCUACAGCUUAACUGUAGAACUGCCAUUGAUACUGGUUAGCUUGAGUUUAGGUGAGGUAGGCGGAAUGUGUGGUGUAGCGGUGAAAUGCUUAGAUAUCACACAGAACACCGAUUGCGAAGGCAGCUUACUAAGCUACAACUGACGCUGAGGCACGAAAGCGUGGGGAGCGAACAGGAUUAGAUACCCUAGUAGUC
RNAcentral lists this ribosomal RNA (459 nucleotides) under uncultured bacterium. RNAcentral's name for it is "partial 16S ribosomal RNA". It matches the Rfam family "Bacterial small subunit ribosomal RNA", at positions 339 to 795 of the family's 1533-position model. The record is from RNAcentral.